This 301-nucleotide ribosomal RNA is filed under the name uncultured bacterium. Its description in RNAcentral is "partial 16S ribosomal RNA". It matches the Rfam family "Bacterial small subunit ribosomal RNA", at positions 509 to 807 of the family's 1533-position model. The record is from RNAcentral.
CAGCAGCCACGGUAAUACGUAGGGUGCAAGCGUUAAUCGGAAUUACUGGGCGUAAAGCGUGCGCAGGCGGUUCGCUAAGACAGAUGUGAAAUCCCCGGGCUUAACCUGGGAACUGCAUUUGUGACUGGCGGGCUAGAGUAUGGCAGAGGGGGGUAGAAUUCCACGUGUAGCAGUGAAAUGCGUAGAGAUGUGGAGGAAUACCGAUGGCGAAGGCAGCCCCCUGGGCCAAUACUGACGCUCAUGCACGAAAGCGUGGGGAGCAAACAGGAUUAGAUACCCGCGUAGUCCCUGUCUCUUAUAC